This 77-nucleotide transfer RNA is filed under the name Candidatus Handelsmanbacteria bacterium RIFCSPLOWO2_12_FULL_64_10. RNAcentral describes it as "tRNA-Pro". It matches the Rfam family "tRNA". Rfam says of the family: Transfer RNA (tRNA) molecules are approximately 80 nucleotides in length. Their secondary structure includes four short double-helical elements and three loops (D, anti-codon, and T loops). RNAcentral also lists the same sequence under 1 other name. The record is from RNAcentral. Lineage: Bacteria; Candidatus Handelsmaniibacteriota.
CGGGGCGUAGCGCAGUCCGGUAGCGCACUUGCUUCGGGAGCAAGGGGUCGGAGGUUCAAAUCCUCUCGCCCCGACCA